Molecule: ribosomal RNA, 435 nt
Filed under: uncultured bacterium
Lineage: Bacteria
Description: partial 16S ribosomal RNA
Rfam family: Bacterial small subunit ribosomal RNA
Source: RNAcentral
AGCGAACGCUGGCGGCAGGCUUAACACAUGCAAGUCGAGCGGGCACUUUCGGGUGUCAGCGGCGGACGGGUGAGUAACGCGUGGGAACGUGCCCUCUGGUUCGGAAUAACUCAGGGAAACUUGAGCUAAUACCGGAUACGCCCUUUUGGGGAAAGGCUUGCUGCCGGAGGAUCGGCCCGCGUCUGAUUAGCUAGUUGGUGAGGUAACGGCUCACCAAGGCGACGAUCAGUAGCUGGUCUGAGAGGAUGAUCAGCCACACUGGGACUGAGACACGGCCCAGACUCCUACGGGAGGCAGCAGUGGAGAAUAUUGGACAAUGGGCGCAAGCCUGAUCCAGCCAUGCCGCGUGAGUGAUCAAGGCCUUAGGGUUGUAAAGCUCUUUUAUCCGGGACGAUAAUGACGGUACCGGAGGAAUAAGCCCCGGCUAACUUCGUG